RNAcentral lists this ribosomal RNA (253 nucleotides) under uncultured bacterium. RNAcentral describes it as "partial 16S ribosomal RNA". It matches the Rfam family "Bacterial small subunit ribosomal RNA", at positions 524 to 776 of the family's 1533-position model. The record is from RNAcentral.
UACGAAGGGGGCUAGCGUUGCUCGGAAUUACUGGGCGUAAAGGGCGCGUAGGCGGGUCGUUAAGUUAGAGGUGAAAGCCCAGGGCUCAACCCUGGAAUUGCCUUUAAUACUGUCGACCUUGAGUAUGGCAGAGGUGUGUGGAACUCCGAGUGUAGAGGUGAAAUUCGUAGAUAUUCGGAAGAACACCAGUGGCGAAGGCGACACACUGGGCCAUUACUGACGCUGAGGCGCGAAAGCGUGGGGAGCAAACAAG